RNAcentral lists this long non-coding RNA (5380 nucleotides) under Lathyrus oleraceus (garden pea). RNAcentral's name for it is "Pisum sativum (pea) long non-coding RNA (PSAT_LNC031220)". The record is from RNAcentral. Lineage: Eukaryota; Viridiplantae; Streptophyta; Magnoliopsida; Fabales; Fabaceae.
AUUCAUAUUUGUAUUUUAUUUAUUUAUUAUUUAAAUAGUAAGAACAAAAUUAUUUAAUUUUUUUACCAGCGACCCAGUAAAUCAUUUAUUUUUAUUUUAAAGUCAUUUUUUAAAAUUAAAAAAAAACUCCUUUAGCCAUUGGUGGAGUACCACUUGGUUUUAUUUUCAUUUUUUUUUCUUUUUUCUUUUUUUUUUCUUUUUCUUCUCUCUCAACUUCUUUUCCUUUCUUUCUUUUAUUUUUUCUCUCUCCUCUCUUUCCUUCUUUUCUCUCUCCGCGUUUACUUCUUUUUCUCUCUCCUCUCUUUCCUUCUUUUCUCUCUCCACGUUUUCUUCUUUUUCCUCUCACUCUCAGUAUUCUCUUUUUUUUCCUUUCUCUCUUUCCUCUUUUCUUCACAUCUUACACUUACACAAAAAAAUAUCUAACAUAAAAUAUAUUAAAUUUCUUUCAUCAAAAACUCACUCUUUCUCUACUAUUCAUAAACCGCCCAACCCAUAAUAUCUCUUUCAAAUCUCAUUAUCAUCACCACAAAAAAGGAAGUUUUGAUCAAAAAAAAAAUAAUAAUAUUUUUCCACUUCUUCAACCACCAAGCAACAACAAAACUGAGAAAAAAUAUUUUCACUUUUCAAUCUCUCAAACACAACUCAACUCUAUCUUCAACAUAACACACAAAAACUUCAUUCAUAUUAUUUACUAAAUAUCAUCAUCAUCACAAACCAACUCCAAAUUUCUCCGCCAUCGUUUUCAACCGACACCAAAUCACCACCGCAUCGGAACACCUUUUUGUUGGAGAAAACUACACAACAACGAACCGUCACUCUUCAGGUUGCAAACCGCCAGAUCCUUUGACUAACGGUAAGUGAGAGAGGGGAACAAUGUAGUUUUGUUGUUUUUAAUUUUGAUGUUGAUUUUUUUUUUUUUGAAACAUUGGAGGAGGAGAGUUUCCUUUUUUUAUAUAAAUUCUUUUUUUCAAAAGAAAGAAAACAAGAUAUAUGUUGUUAUUGCUAGACUGGUGCGGACAAGAAGAGGAAAUUGUUUAAACUUUUUAUUUUUUAUUUUUCUUUCCUUGCUGUUAUCCUCUUACCGUCAUUGUCCCCUUUUUCUUUUCAUUUUUCUUAAAUUAUUAUUUGUUCUUGUCUUUUUAUAUUUAUUUUUAUUAUUGAUUAAUAUUGUUAUUGAUUAAUAUUAUUAUUGAUUGAAUAUUAUCUAUUUAUUAUUAUCAUUACUAUUAGUAUAUAUUAUUAUAUAUAUUAUCAUGACUAUUAUUACUAAUAUUAUUAUUAUUAUUAUUAUUAUUAUUAUUCAUUAGUAUAUUAUUAUUAUUUCAUUUAAUUAUUAUUGUCAAAAUUAUUAAUUUGUCAUUAUUGUUGUUAUUAUUAUAAUAAUAGUUUUUUUUAUUAUUAUUUAUUGUUAACUAUUUUUGUUGAUUAUUUUAUUUAUUAUUUAUUAUUAUUGUUGUUAUUAUUUAAAAUGCUUGAUAGUACGAGAUGAAAGCUCAACCUACACCAUUAUUAUUCUGUACACUUUUAUGGUUUUUUUUAAUCUUUCUAAAACAACAACUUUGUGUUGUUAACUUAUAGCAGCUUCUGUAAUUGGACAAACUAACCAUUAGUUGAUUUUGAUGAAAUAAGGCUACCAAAUAGCAUUGCUCUAGUAUUAUUGUUUAUUAUCAAUUAUUAUUAUUAUUAUUAUUAUUAUUAUUAUUAUUAUUAUUUUAUUUUUAUUAUUUAUCAUUAUUUUUAUUAAUUAUUUAUUGAUUAAAUUGUUAUAAAAAAUUCGAUUUAUUUGUCCCGUCGGUUUUUCAUAAAUGCGUAGCAAUUUUGAAGUUAAAAUUCAAUUUAAUUGCAGGAAUUUGCUUAUACGCAUAAAGUCUUAUUGACCGUCUCAGAUAUGGUGAUUCCCUACAUGAAUCGCCUUACAAAUGUUCAAUACAGUGCUAAAUUUUUUGGUUUAACUUUUGAUUUUAUUUCGUCCCUUGGCUUUCUCUUGGGCCUUCUUACAACGAGAUUCUUUUAUUUUUUUCAAUUGUCUUUCAAAACUUAUAUCAUUUAAUUAUCGUAUCGUAUCCCCAUUCGAUAAACUGUAUCCCCAUUCCCGAAAAUUUGUAAUAAAUUUACCGCUUUUAUUUACUUUAUUGUAUUAGCUGAUUGUUAAUUCAAAGAUUAAAAUCAAUCAUUUUUAGAAAAGAACAAAAAACAAAUACUGGAUCCAACGUCGAACAAUUUUCAAAAAAAACUAGAAACCAUUUUCAUAUUCCACUUUCUCCGUCAUUUUUAAAACUUUCAAAUCAUUUUAUUCUAUUCGAUUCAAACGCAAGAAAUAAAAAACCUCGAUCCAACAUCGAGUGCCUUUUCCCUAGUCAAUUCAAAAUACCUAAUUUAUUUAAACAUUAUUCAAAAAAGAUGAAAAGGGAGAUGGUCUCGAGUCUUCCGAUUCCUCUCCCCAAUUACUUGGAUACGAGUAGCCUUACUCGGCGAUUCGAGUAAUCGUCAUCAAACUCUUUCAUAAUCAAACCUUAAAUUAAACUCAUUUUCGUAAAAACUGGUACGAAAAAGGAGUGGUCUGGAGCCUUCCAUUCCUUCUCGAGUACUUGGAUACGAGUAGCCUUACUCGGUCAUUCGAGUAUUUGUCGUCCGUACAAAAUACAUUAAGCUUAUUUAAAUCCUUUUGCAAUUAAGGAUGAAAAUGGAGAUGGUCUAGAGCCUUUAUUUCUCUUCUCGAGUACUUGGAUCAAGUGCCUUACUCGGCCAUUCGAGUAAUCAUCUCCAAAUAAAACACUCAAACAAUCAAACUUGUUUUCCGCCCUCCGCGACCAUGAAAACAUUUUCAGAAAAGAGUAUAUGCAACAUCCAUUUGGAUGCGAAACAACAAAGACUUCAGCCUCCAAGAACGAGCAACAAGUAAAGGUUUAAUUCGCUCAAAUGUAAUCCAGCAUCACUCUCUUUAAAAGCAAUCCACCCAGUAGUUCUCUUUGGGCAGAACUACGUUUGCCUUGAGUUCUUCAUAGCACCUGGAGAUACGUAGGAGGCAGGAUGCGAAAUCUUGUCAGGCACAUUAAUAUUAAAAAACCUAAGUCUUUCCUUUCUUUCUUUCUUUUUCUCGCCCGAUAAGUAGAAGAUAAUAAUUAACAUUAGCUAAACACUCUCAAAUAAAUUUAACUAAGUGGUUCCCGUUGAGUACAACGGACGUGAGGGGUGCUAAUACUUCCCCUUGCGUAACCGACUCCCGAACCCGAAUUUGGUUUGUGACGACCAUUUCCUUUUUAUUGUUUAAUUCGUGGGUUUUAUCGAUAUUUUCCCUUUCCUUCAUUGGAAUAAAUAAGUUCGGUGGCGACUCUGUUCGAACAUCUUCUUCCGUGAGCGUGCGAGCGUCUCACGAAGGAUCGCGUUUUUUCGAGAUGCGACACUCAGAGGUAAUUAUCUUCCACCUUAAUUUUUGUUUUAUAAUUAUACAUCUAGUAGUUUGAGUAAUAACUCAAUUAUUCUCUCUUUUUUAGCUAACAAUCCCCUUUGGAAGAUAAUUGAUGAAAGUGGGAUAAGCCAACUUCAUAGGCCAUUACAUGUUGCAGGCCUUUAUUUGAACCCCUCUGUGGUAUGCUUCGGGAUUCACUAUUGAUAAUGAAGUUACAAAUGGCUUGUAUGAAUGUUUGCUAGAAUGGUGGAAGAUCCAGAACAAAGAGGCAUGAUUGAUCUUCAACUUAGGAUUUCAAGGGAAGUUGGAUCUUUUGGUAGUGAGUUUCUACAUUUGCACUUCAAACUAAAACACCAACACAAUGUGGGAUUCUUAUGGAGGCGGUCAUCCUGAAUUGCAAUGGUUUGCUGUUGAGAGUUUCAGCUUGACAUGUAGCUCAUCAGGAUGUGAAGGCCACUGAAGUACUUUGAAGGGUAAGUUUUCAAAUUUAUUGAACAAUUGUAUUCUAAAUAUCUAUUGUGUGUUAAUUCAUUUGUGUAUAAUAUCUAGGUUCACACAAGAAGCAGAAUCACUUAAAACAAAACACGAUGAAUAGUUUUGUGAUGACUAACUCAAAUUGGGAAAAAAAGAAGAAAAUAGAAAGAAUGCUAACUAUGAGGUUUGAUGAAAUUGAUUCUGAAAAUGAAGGGAAGAAUGGAUUGAGAAUGUGGAGGAUAAUGAAGAUGAUAAAGAUAUUACCCUUGUUGUUGGAGAAGAUGCUAGUGGUAUUGGUAAUGAUUUAGAUGUUCCUUCCAUUAUUGAAGAUGAUGCCUUUGAAUUGGAAGAGAAUGAGGAGGAGGAGGAUCCAUAUGACUAUCAUGAUAUGAGAAUCACAUAAUAUUUAGAUGAUUAGACUUGUUUGUUAGAUUUAUGUCUUGUUUGUUUAUAUUUAUGUUUUUUGAGCUACUUAUUUUGAACCUGGUCUUUUGAACUUAUUGAAUUAUAAAAUUAUGGUUAUGAGUUGUUAAUUAAAUUGCGUUUACGUGUUAUGAUUUGUAGGUUAUUUUGUUCAUGUAUUAUAAAUUUUCAUAUUUUUCCACGUGAAAUUACCAUUUUACCCUUCGGUAAGAUCUUAAGUGUCGUGCUACAAUCCUAAUUUACGAUCUUUAAUAGGCCGCUCCGACUCCUAUUUAAGAUCCCGUGCCUGACUACCUGCCAUCUCAGUCCCAAGGCGACAACACUCAGAGGUGUUAAACUGAUCUUCUCUCUAUCUUUGUCUUUUCAUAUGAUUUUAAAAAAAACUAAAACAUAUAAGUAAUAUAAGUAAUGUUUGUAAGUUAGAUAUAUAAAAACUAUUAUUUUAAAUAUUUUGAAAUUUGAAAAUAUUUGGUGGUCAAAACUAUAAGUACGUCAAAAACAACAGAUUAUAGAUNGUUAACUUAUAGCAGCUUCUGUAAUUGGACAAACUAACCAUUAGUUGAUUUUGAUGAAAUAAGGCUACCAAAUAGCAUUGCUCUAGUAUUAUUGUUUAUUAUCAAUUAUUAUUAUUAUUAUUAUUAUUAUUAUUAUUAUUAUUAUUAUUAUUUUAUUUUUAUUAUUUAUCAUUAUUUUUAUUAAUUAUUUAUUGAUUAAAUUGUUAUAAAAAAAUUCGAUUUAUUUGUCCCGUCGGUUUUUCAUAAAUGCGUAGCAAUUUUGAAGUUAAAAAUUCAAUUUAAUUGCAGGAAUUUGCUUAUACGCAUAAAGUCUUAUUGACCAGUCUCAGAUAUGGUGAUUCCUACAUGAAUCGCCUUACAAAUGUUCAAUACAGUGCUAAAUUUUUUGGUUUAACUUUUGAUUUUAUUUCGAAUCCCUUGGCUUUCUCUUGGGCCUUCUUACAACGAGAUUCUUUUAUUUUUUUCAAUUGUCUUUCAAAACUUAUAUCAUUUAAUUAUCGUAUCGUAUCCCCAUUCGAUAAACUGUAUCCCCAUUCCCGAAAAUUUGUAAUAAAUUUAC